Molecule: non-coding RNA, 2311 nt
Organism: Rattus norvegicus (Norway rat)
Lineage: Eukaryota; Metazoa; Chordata; Mammalia; Rodentia; Muridae
Source: RefSeq, a predicted model, not a curated record
UUGUCUCUCUGUCUCUGUCUCCUGUCUGUCUGUGUCUGUCUGUCUGUCUCUCUCUUUCUUUGUCUCUCUGUCUCUGUCAAUCUUUCUCUUUGUCUCUGUCUCUCUGUCUCUGUCUGUGUCUGUCUCUAUCUGUCUCUGUUUCUCUCUGUCUCUGUCUCUCUCUUUCUCUCUCUCUGUCUCUCUCUCUGUUUCUGUCUCUGUCUCUGUCUCUGUCUCUGUCUCUCUCUCUCUCUCUCCGUGUGUGUGUGUGUGUGUGUGUGUGUGUUCAUUUAUUUACAUGUAAGUGGAAUCUAGAGGUCAAUGUUCAACAUCUUCCUCAAUUUCUCUCAACUUUAUUUUUGAGACAAGGUCCCUCACUGAUGUGGCUAGACUGGCUAACAAGACAGCUCCAGGUGGUCCUCCUUCCUCUGUCUUCCCAGAGCUGGGACACAGGUAUGUUCCAUUGCACUUACCCUUUACUUUUCUGUUACCCAUGGGUUCUAGAGAACUGACCUUCGUUCUCAUGCUGUGUGGCACACACUUUACAGAGGGGCUAUUUCUCCAGACCCUGUAUCGCUUAUACAUAGCACUCCAGAGAUAGCACUCAUUCAGUGAAUGGGAACUGCACGUAUGGUUGUUUGGAUCUGAGUUAGAGUGGAUCACUCAGGGCUGCUGUUUGCUGAAGGCUAGAGAGAACAAAAUCUUCCUGUGCCCUUAUGAACUUGUUUAAGUACACAGACACCAUGAAUUCGAGGGCCAAGAAAUUUAACUGAUUUGAACAAACGCUCCUCUGGUAGUUUUAGGUCCUCUGUUAAGAAUGUUGCUGUUGCUGGAGAGAGGACUCGGGGGUGAAGAGAACAUAAUACUGCACCCACAUGAUGAUUCACAACUCCCUGGAUCUCCAGUUCCAGGUUGUCCAAUGCCCUCUUAUGGCCUCUUUAGGUAGCUGCACUAAUGGGCACAUACCAACAUGUACAUGCACACAUAUAGUUUAAAUUACAUAUAAACUUUUUUUAAACAAAGGAGAAUGUCUCCAAAGAUUUGACUAUCAACUGCUAUCUGCAUCAGAAGCUGUGUCGGCCCCUUGCUAAGCCAUGCUUUCCCCAACUGUUUGGUGAAGAACUCUUGUUUUGUUAAUCCUAUUACAUAAACUCAGAAACUGAGGCUUCCUGCAUCAGUGCAAACAGUCUCACCACCGAGAGUCCUAUCAUCCCAUAGCCUCAAAAUCCGUCAAAGGAGGGCAUAUCUUCUCUCCAUCAGCAGAUGCAUCCUGCUUCCCUCUAGCUUCCAGGCCCCACCUCAGCUGCUAUUUCCCAGAAGCCCUUGCAAGACUGAGGAAGCAACCUCUGGGGAUAUGGCUGACACUGGAAGUUAAUGACUAUCAGUUGAAACAAAACACUUGUUUACAUGUUGCCAUCAUUAGAGGCUCCAGCCUUACCUCUGCUGGGCCUCCUGCCAGAUGUUUGGAGGGGCUUUUCACAAGCUGUGCAGUUUACUAAAUACAAAACACACUUAUUAAGGCCUUUUAGUAUUAGGCGGUGCAGCCCUGAUAACCGGUAAUUGAAUUUCUUCAUCUGGGAGAUAAAGGACCAAGACAACUCUCAGAAUCUGCUCAGCUGGGAACACAGAUGGUUGCUGGAGACUCGGAGCUCCUCUUCUUAAACUCCUGCAGAGGAGGGCAGUGUGGUUCAGUGGUCCUUCAUGGCAUGUGGCUCCUGGCAGGCGAACAGUUCUUCCUGAGGCAAUCGGGGGAGACUUCAUGGGAAAAGUGGCUGGAGCCCUUGAUGUUGAAGGGUUAUGACUAGAAGCUGUUGGAGCUGUUGGAAGGGCUGAGAUUGCCAGGGUGCAGAAGAGAGUCAGUCACCAUUUCCACUUCAAAAUCCUGGUUGUUAGAGGAAGCUCACAAAGCUCCGCGUGCUCCGGGUUUCUGGGGAGACAUCAUCUUUGUGUGAAGUCAUUUGUGAAGAAGUUAGAAGGUCUCCCUCUGAAAGAUUCACACUGCUUCUCUGAUGUGGUACCCACUUCUGCUGCAGGAGGACCUGCAGAGUACUUUUGCUGUAUCAGCUCAGAGGCUGUCAAUAACCCAGGCUCAUCCUGAAACCUGACCUCAGUUGCUGUGCUGCCCUGAACACGAGGGCCUAUGGGUACUGCUGUCUGUAUGCAAUGAACCUCUGUUUCCUGGUCAUACUGUCUAGUAUCAACAGUAGAUCUGACCUUGGAUCUUGGAAAGAGUACAUUCUCUUAAUGUUCUAGAUUUCUUUAAAUGAUAUAUAUCAUAUAUAACAUAUAUUAUAUAAUACAUAACUAUAAUAAAUAAUAAUCAUACAUAAAA